Molecule: long non-coding RNA, 981 nt
Organism: Astatotilapia calliptera (eastern happy)
Lineage: Eukaryota; Metazoa; Chordata; Actinopteri; Cichliformes; Cichlidae
Source: Ensembl
AUCGUGCAGAAAUGUGCGCGCCCUUAUCUGAAAGGACAUGGAGAGAGUGUCGCAGACUCGAGGUGAUAAGAUAAACCUCGGCGCUGGACGGCCUGCGCGUUACCUAUGUGCAUCUUUUCAAUGACAUCAGGUGAACCCAUAAUAAGCAUUUCUAUGUCUUAGACAUCUUCGGUCCCGUGAAGGCUGAAGAUGCGAUGAUGAAUUAAUUUCUUACGGAAACUGGAACUAGUGUUCUAGUUUGUGUUUAACACGGACUCUUUAGUGCGCUGCACACUCGCUCUCUCAGCCCGCGGGUUUCGGAACAAGAAGAAAGGAGAAAAAAGAGCACAAGCGCAUCGUUAAAGCCGACUAACGUGAAAACACGUGACAAGACGAAGGUAAGCGGUACGGUUUGGUGACGUCACAGUGGACUCCAGCGUCAUGACUUUAACAUUGAACAAAUCCGGUCCGCACAGGCUCAGAGACAGACCUCAUCCUUUUACUUUAACCAUGAAACAUGAAGCUGUCGCUCAUGAGACAGGAGCUCAGCUUUCAGCGUCACAGCUGGAACAACAUCAGCUGACAUGAAAGACACACAGACGUUUGUUCCCUGUUAGCAAAGAUGAAGAUGGAGAGCGUGAGGGAACUACAGAGAGGAGGAGGAGGACACGAGCUGUGAGGGACGCAGUGGACCAGCCCUCAGACCUACAUCAGCAGGAGCGAGGACGACCCCCCCCCCCCCCCCCCCCCCCCAGUGUGCGGACGUUCCCACCACAUGAAUGGGGGACAGGAGGCGCAGCUUCCAGCCCAGCUGGUAGGAAAGUCCUCCUUGGGUGGACUUCUCUGUAACUAUGGACUCGUGCAUGCAGACGUUUCAGUCCACAGUGAUGUCAGUCAGUGCUUUUUAAAGAUGUGCAGGAUGUGAAAUCUUCAGUUUGAUUGUUAAAUGUUCGUUCACUUUGUUUGUGCUUCAAAUAAAUUCACUUCAUGGAUGAAACAGUU